RNAcentral lists this ribosomal RNA (423 nucleotides) under uncultured bacterium. Its description in RNAcentral is "bacterial SSU rRNA". It matches the Rfam family "Bacterial small subunit ribosomal RNA", at positions 207 to 622 of the family's 1533-position model. The record is from RNAcentral.
AAGACCUUGCGCUUUUGGAGCGGCCGAUGCCUGAUUAGCUUGUUGGUAAGGUAAAAGCUUACCAAGGCUUCGAUCAGUAGCUGGUCUGAGAGGACGACCAGCCACACUGGGACUGAGACACGGCCCAGACUCCUACGGGAGGCAGCAGUGGGGAAUUUUGGACAAUGGGGGCAACCCUGAUCCAGCCAUGCCGCGUGAGUGAAGAAGGCCUUCGGGUUGUAAAGCUCUUUCAGCCGGAACGAAACGGUUACGGAUAACACCCGUGACUACUGACGGUACCGGAAGAAGAAGCACCGGCUAACUACGUGCCAGCAGCCGCGGUAAUACGUAGGGUGCGAGCGUUAAUCGGAAUUACUGGGCGUAAAGCGUGCGCAGGUGGUUUUGUAAGUCAGACGUGAAAGCCCCGGGCUCAACCUGGGAACU